This 21-nucleotide non-coding RNA is filed under the name Caenorhabditis elegans. The record is from RNAcentral. Lineage: Eukaryota; Metazoa; Nematoda; Chromadorea; Rhabditida; Rhabditidae.
UAAACAGCUACUUUUCACAGU